This 253-nucleotide ribosomal RNA is filed under the name uncultured bacterium. RNAcentral's name for it is "partial 16S ribosomal RNA". It matches the Rfam family "Bacterial small subunit ribosomal RNA", at positions 524 to 776 of the family's 1533-position model. The record is from RNAcentral.
UACAGAGGUCUCAACCGUUGUCCGGAUUCACUGGGUUUAAAGGGUGCGUAGGUGGGUUGGUAAGUCAGUGGUGAAAUCCCCGAGCUUAACUCGGGAACUGCCAUUGAUACUAUCAGUCUUGAAUACCGUGGAGGUUAGCGGAAUACAUCAUGUAGCGGUGAAAUGCCUAGAUAUGAUGUAGAACACCGAUUGCGAAGGCAGCUCACUAAGUUGUAACUGACACUGAGGCACGAAAGCGUGGGUAGCGAACAGG